GUGAAGAGCCUGGUUGGGAGUUGUGGCCUACAGUAAAGAAAAAAGUCAGUUCCUCAUCUAUUUUUAAUGUGAUUCUUUGAAGCUGCUGGAUGAUAAGGAAAUCAAAUGUGGAAAAGACAGCUCUGAGACAGUCCAGCAGGAUCAGAUGUGGGACCAGAAUUGCUUUCCAAUGUGCUUCAAUCAAUGGUCCUUCCCAGUGCAUAAUGACCUUGAGUUAAA
Long non-coding RNA from Acipenser ruthenus (sterlet), 219 nucleotides. RefSeq lists it as uncharacterized. Lineage: Eukaryota; Metazoa; Chordata; Actinopteri; Acipenseriformes; Acipenseridae. The record is from RefSeq and is a predicted model, not a curated record. The transcript has 3 exons.